UGGGGAAUAUUGCACAAUGGGCGAAAGCCUGAUGCAGCGACGCCGCGUGAGGGAUGAGGGCCUUCGGGUUGUAAACCUCUUUCGCUCAUGGUCAAGCCGCAACAGUGGUUGUGGUGAGGGUAGUGGGUAAAGAAGCACCGGCUAACUACGUGCCAGCAGCCGCGGUAAUACGUAGGGUGCGAGCGUUGUCCGGAAUUAUUGGGCGUAAAGGGCUUGUAGGCGGUUUGUCGCGUCUGCCGUGAAAUCCUCUGGCUUAACUGGGGGCGUGCGGUGGGUACGGGCAGGCUUGAGUGCGGUAGGGGAGACUGGAACUCCUGGUGUAGCGGUGGAAUGCGCAGAUAUCAGGAAGAACACCGGUGGCGAAGGCGGGUCUCUGGGCCGUUACUGACGCUGAGGAGCGAAAGCGUGGGGAGCGAACAGGAUUAGAUACCCUGGUAGUCCACGCCGUAAACGAUGAGUGCUAGGUGUUGGGUCCUUUCCGGGACUCAGUGCCGCAGCUAACGCAUUAAGCACUCCGCCUGGGGAGUACGACCGCAAGGUUG
RNAcentral lists this ribosomal RNA (542 nucleotides) under uncultured bacterium. Its description in RNAcentral is "bacterial SSU rRNA". It matches the Rfam family "Bacterial small subunit ribosomal RNA", at positions 355 to 896 of the family's 1533-position model. The record is from RNAcentral.